Molecule: ribosomal RNA, 395 nt
Filed under: uncultured bacterium
Lineage: Bacteria
Description: partial 16S ribosomal RNA
Rfam family: Bacterial small subunit ribosomal RNA
Source: RNAcentral
AUACGUAGGGUGCAAGCGUUAAUCGGAAUUACUGGGCGUAAAGCGAGCGCAGGCGGUUUUGUAAGACAGUGGUGAAAUCCCCGGGCUCAACCUGGGGACUGCCAUUGUGACUGCAAGGCUGGAGUGCGGCAGAGGGGGAUGGAAUUCCGCGUGUAGCAGUGAAAUGCGUAGAUAUGCGGAGGAACACCGAUGGCGAAGGCAAUCCCCUGGGCCUGCACUGACGCUCAUGCACGAAAGCGUGGGGAGCAAACAGGAUUAGAUACCCUGGUAGUCCACGCCCUAAACGAUGUCAACUGGUUGUUGGGGAUUUAUUUUCUCAGUAACGAAGCUAACGCGUGAAGUUGACCGCCUGGGGAGUACGGCCGCAAGGUUAAAACUCAAAUGAAUUGACGGGG